This 300-nucleotide ribosomal RNA is filed under the name uncultured Oceanospirillaceae bacterium. RNAcentral's name for it is "bacterial SSU rRNA". It matches the Rfam family "Bacterial small subunit ribosomal RNA", at positions 114 to 423 of the family's 1533-position model. Lineage: Bacteria; Pseudomonadati; Pseudomonadota; Gammaproteobacteria; Oceanospirillales; Oceanospirillaceae. The record is from RNAcentral.
CGCGUAGGAACCUACCUAGUAGUUUGGGAUAGCCCAGAGAAAUUUGGAUUAAUACCGGAUACGCCCUACGGGGGAAAGGGGGCUUCGGCUCUCGCUAUUAGAUGGGCCUGCGUAAGAUUAGCUAGUUGGUGAGGUAAUGGCUCACCAAGGCGACGAUCUUUAGCUGGUCUGAGAGGAUGAUCAGCCACACUGGAACUGAGACACGGUCCAGACUCCUACGGGAGGCAGCAGUGGGGAAUAUUGCACAAUGGGCGAAAGCCUGAUGCAGCCAUGCCGCGUGUGUGAAGAAGGCUCUAGGGU